UAAAUAAGGAUCCCCAGAUACGUUCUUUUCUGAGCUCAAAAACUCUAUCUCGAAACUCUGCCAAAAUUUUCGUUCGAGCACUCCAUUUCUGUUGAAGCAGAGUACUGACUUGAGCGUCGGAGGUCUUGCCGGAGCACCCCCAACUCCGGUUUAGACUUCUCUUGCAGGUCCCGACGGCGGUCACGAUGUUCUCCAGCAACUCCGGCUUUGAC
RNAcentral lists this long non-coding RNA (212 nucleotides) under Elaeis guineensis (African oil palm). RNAcentral describes it as "long non-coding RNA (EGUI_LNC074412)". Lineage: Eukaryota; Viridiplantae; Streptophyta; Magnoliopsida; Arecales; Arecaceae. The record is from RNAcentral.